UACGUAGGGUGCAAGCGUUAAUCGGAAUUACUGGGCGUAAAGCGUGCGCAGGCGGUGAUGUAAGACAGGUGUGAAAUCCCUCAGCUUAACUGGGGAACUGCGUCUGAUACUGGAUGGCUUGAGUUUGGGAGAGGGACGCGGAAUUCCAGGUGUAGCGGUGAAAUGCGUAGAUAUCUGGAGGAACACCGGUGGCGAAGGCGGCAUCCUGGACCAAUUCUGACACUGAGGAGCGAAAGCCAGGGGAGCAAACGGG
This 253-nucleotide ribosomal RNA is filed under the name uncultured bacterium. RNAcentral's name for it is "partial 16S ribosomal RNA". It matches the Rfam family "Bacterial small subunit ribosomal RNA", at positions 524 to 776 of the family's 1533-position model. The record is from RNAcentral.